AAUUGAAGAGUUUGAUCAUGGCUCAGAUUGAACGCUGGCGGCAGGCCUAACACAUGCAAGUCGAGCGGUAACAGGGGAAGCUUGCUUCUCGCUGACGAGCGGCGGACGGGUGAGUAAUGUAUGGGGAUCUGCCCGAUAGAGGGGGAUAACCACUGGAAACGGUGGCUAAUACCGCAUAAUCUCUUUGGAGCAAAGCAGGGGAACUUCGGUCCUUGCGCUAUCGGAUGAACCCAUAUGGGAUUAGCUAGUAGGUGAGGUAAUGGCUCACCUAGGCGACGAUCCCUAGCUGGUCUGAGAGGAUGAUCAGCCACACUGGGACUGAGACACGGCCCAAACUCCUACGGCGAGGCACCAGUGGGGAAUAUUGCACAUUGGGCGCAAGCCUGAUGCAUCCCCGCCUCGUGUCUGAAGAACGUCUU
This 419-nucleotide ribosomal RNA is filed under the name Providencia sneebia DSM 19967. Its description in RNAcentral is "bacterial SSU rRNA". It matches the Rfam family "Bacterial small subunit ribosomal RNA", at positions 1 to 418 of the family's 1533-position model. Lineage: Bacteria; Pseudomonadati; Pseudomonadota; Gammaproteobacteria; Enterobacterales; Morganellaceae. The record is from RNAcentral.